Molecule: ribosomal RNA, 431 nt
Filed under: Candidatus Mycoplasma haematobovis
Lineage: Bacteria; Bacillati; Mycoplasmatota; Mollicutes; Mycoplasmatales; Mycoplasmataceae
Description: bacterial SSU rRNA
Rfam family: Bacterial small subunit ribosomal RNA
Source: RNAcentral
UAACGAAAGUCUGAUGGAGCAAUACCAUGUGAACGAUGAAGGCCUUUUUGGUUGUAAAGUUUUUUUAUGAGGGAUAACAAUGAUAGUACCUCAUGAAUAAGUGACAGCAAACUAUGUGCCAGCAGCUGCGGUAAUACAUAGGUCGCAAGCAUUAUUCGGAUUUAUUGGGCGUAAAGCAAGCGCAGGCGGAUGUGUAAGUUCUGUGUUAAAAGUAGCUACUUAAUAGUUGUUUGCACCGAAUACUACACGUCUAGAAUGUGGUAGGAAGUUUUGGAAUUAAACAUGGAGCGGUGGAAUGUGUAGAUAUGUUUAAGAACACCGGAGGCGAAGGCGAAAACUUAGGCCAUAAUUGACGCUUAGGCUUGAAAGUGUGGGGAGCAAAUGGGAUUAGAUACCCCAGUAGUCCACACCGAAAUCGAAUGUUUUUAUGU